AGAGUUUGAUCAUGGCUCAGGAUGAACGCUGACAGAAUGCUUAACACAUGCAAGUCUUUGGCGAAUCUGUGCUUGCACAGCCUAACCAAGGCGGACGGGUGAGUAACGCGUAAAGAACUUGCCCUGCAGUCUGGGAUAACAGACGGAAACGACUGAUAAAACCUGAUAUAAUCAAGCCCACGCAUGUGGUGCUUGAUGAAAAGGAAUACUGCAGGAGAGCUUUGCGUCCUAUUAGCUUGUUGGUGGGGUAAUGGCCCACCAAGGCAAUGAUAGGUAGCCGGCCUGAGAGGGUGAACGGCCACAAGGGGACUGAGAUACGGCCCUUACUCCUACGGGAGGCAGCAGUGGGGAAUAUUGGACAAUGGGGGUAACCCUGAUCCAGCAAUUCUGUGUGCACGAGGAAGGUUUUCGGAUCGUAAAGUGCUUUCAGCAGGGAAGAAGAAAGUGACGGUACCUGCAGA
RNAcentral lists this ribosomal RNA (461 nucleotides) under uncultured Leptotrichia sp. RNAcentral describes it as "bacterial SSU rRNA". It matches the Rfam family "Bacterial small subunit ribosomal RNA", at positions 8 to 485 of the family's 1533-position model. The record is from RNAcentral. Lineage: Bacteria; Fusobacteriati; Fusobacteriota; Fusobacteriia; Fusobacteriales; Leptotrichiaceae.